GUGGAUUAGAUACCCUGGUAAUCCACGCCGUAAACGAUGAGUGCUAAGUGUUGGAGGGUUUCCGCCCUUCAGUGCUGCAGCUAACGCAUUAAGCACUCCGCCUGGGGAGUACGACCGCAAGGUUGAAACUCAAAGGAAUUGACGGGGGCCCGCACAAGCGGUGGAGCAUGUGGUUUAAUUCGAAGCAACGCGAAGAACCUUACCAGGUCUUGACAUCCUUUGACCACUCUAGAGAUAGAGCUUCCCCUUCGGGGGCAAAGUGACAGGUGGUGCAUGGCUGUCGUCAACU
Molecule: ribosomal RNA, 289 nt
Filed under: uncultured bacterium
Lineage: Bacteria
Description: partial 16S ribosomal RNA
Rfam family: Bacterial small subunit ribosomal RNA
Source: RNAcentral